RNAcentral lists this long non-coding RNA (300 nucleotides) under Aotus nancymaae (Ma's night monkey). RNAcentral's name for it is "lncRNA (ENSANAG00000039470.1)". The record is from RNAcentral. Lineage: Eukaryota; Metazoa; Chordata; Mammalia; Primates; Aotidae.
GUUUGAUUUUCUGUUCUUGUAUCAGUUUGGCUUUUGUUAAGGGUUAGUUCCAAAUGGUGGUGUCUCCAGAGAGCUGACGAUCUCAGAAUGCUUUUGAAUUUGCACAGCGAAGCCUUCAAGUCCUGCCUUGGCAGUUUCAACAGAAGCAUAAAGGAUGCAAGGAAUCACAGACAUGAUGAAGGGGAAGAGCAUGAGGAAUAGUGACCCAAGGAAGGAAGGUAAGAAGGAUUUGUCAUCUGAAAACUCCGAUAUGGAGGUGAAUGGCCGGAGAAUGUUCUAGAGAGCCAUGCAAGAUUACCA